Molecule: ribosomal RNA, 508 nt
Filed under: Protohermes xanthodes
Lineage: Eukaryota; Metazoa; Arthropoda; Insecta; Megaloptera; Corydalidae
Description: partial 16S ribosomal RNA
Rfam family: Bacterial large subunit ribosomal RNA
Source: RNAcentral
GUCUUUUAGAAUAUAAUUUAAAGUCUAACCUGCCCACUGAAUUUUUUUGAAGGGCCGCGGUAUUUUGACUGUGCAAAGGUAGCAUAAUCAUUAGUCUUUUAAUUGGAGGCUUGUAUGAAUGGUUGGAUGAAACAUUAACUGUCUCAAUAUAAUAAAAAUAGAAUUUAAUUUUUAAGUUAAAAAGCUUAAAUAAUAUUAGAGGACGAGAAGACCCUAUAGAUCUUUAUAAUUGAUUUUUUAUUAUUUAUAUAGAAUAUUAAUUAGUAUUAAUUAAUUAAUUAUUUUAUUGGGGUGAUAAAUAAAUUUAGUAAACUUUAUUUAAUUUAAACAUUUAUUUAUGAAUAAUUGAUCCAUUAUUAGUGAUUAAAAGAUUAAGUUACCUUAGGGAUAACAGCGUAAUUUUUUUAGAGAGUUCUUAUCGAUAAAAAAGUUUGCGACCUCGAUGUUGAAUUAAAGGUUAAUUUUAGGUGUAGAAGUUUAAAGUUUUGGUCUGUUCGACCAUUAAAUC